Long non-coding RNA from Amphimedon queenslandica, 549 nucleotides. RefSeq lists it as uncharacterized. The record is from RefSeq and is a predicted model, not a curated record. The transcript is spliced from 5 exons. Lineage: Eukaryota; Metazoa; Porifera; Demospongiae; Haplosclerida; Niphatidae.
UUUGCAUUCGAUUCCGAUUCUGAAUACUUUUGAGACUGGAAUCGAUGGAAUCGAAUACCGAUUCUGCAUCUGCGCAUGCGCAAUGCCACGUGGUCAAUAAAAAAUUCAAUAGAGUAAUUGGACUGGAGUAUUCCAUAAUAAAAUGGUGGGUGCCGGGGUGUGAAGGACUGGACGCAUUGUAACAAUUGCUACACUGAAUAGAAGAAACACCCAGUUCAUUAUAACGUCGUGUGGUCAUUUAUUCUGUGGGAAAUCCUAUGGUGAGAGAGAGAAGUUCUGUCUCGUAUGUAAGGCAGUGUGUAAUUCAGUUCUUGAUCUGUCAAAAGAAGCUCCACCAUAUGUCACGAUAUAUUUCAAGACUCCUUAGUCCAUUAUACAGGAAUUCGUCCUAAAUUUUGAACGAGUCGCUAGGUUUCAAAAGGAGCAUAGGACUAGAUUAGUAAAGCACAAACUACAGAAAUUGCAGAAUCUUGCUGCUAGAAAAGAAAGGAAAUACUGUUAUUUGAAAAGUAACUUAUUGAUGGGGUAUUUUAUUUUAUUUUAUUUAUU